AAGAUAUUAGUAAUAAUCAUUACAUAACUUUGCCAUAGUUAAGUUACAGGUUUAACCCCUGUAUAUCUUA
RNAcentral lists this transfer RNA (70 nucleotides) under Sminthopsis psammophila (sandhill dunnart). Its description in RNAcentral is "tRNA-Asp". Lineage: Eukaryota; Metazoa; Chordata; Mammalia; Dasyuromorphia; Dasyuridae. The record is from RNAcentral.